AAUGAGAAAAUAAUAACAGAAUUUUCAUUUUUGGCUGAACUAUCAGUUUAAACAUCAUAGAUGUGCAGUUCCUGAUGGAUCCUGUGGGUGUCGCUGUCUGACUGCGGUCCACAUUCACAUCAAUACUAAUGCAGCCUGAAUGCAACAAACACACACACGUGCAGAAAGUCAAAUCAAUGUGGCUGCAGGCCACAGACUUUCACACCUCACAUUACAAUUACACAAAAACACACAACAGACGGACACACAGAGAGACGUUACAAGGGCAGCGCGGGAUUUGCCACUGUUUAACUGGUUAACCUGGCUUACUCUUGUACGAGGGGGUGGGUCGGUCAACAGGCCCUCUGAGACCCGGGUGGGCUGAACCGGAGCCAGUCGGCGUCGAUGAGAUCGGGCCACGCGGGCUAUCGGAUCAACACCCGCCAAAAUGUGUGUGGGCGACAUGAAAAACAGCACACGUCCCUGGAGACAACCAGG
Misgurnus anguillicaudatus (oriental weatherfish) is the source of this 477-nucleotide long non-coding RNA. RefSeq lists it as uncharacterized. The record is from RefSeq and is a predicted model, not a curated record. NCBI's taxonomy places the organism in Eukaryota, Metazoa, Chordata, Actinopteri, Cypriniformes, Cobitidae.